AGUACCUGUUUGGUUCUGCGUUUGACACUGCUAAACGCGAGUUUGGAAGGUGAAAACGCAAUUCAGAAAUUUGAAAAUAUGUUUGGGUUUCAUUUUUAAAAUCGAUUCAACCAAGCAAACGCGAUUUUACUGGAAGCUGCUAUUCCUAACUUCUGCGUCUAAGUGAAAUCGAUUCUCCCACAAAUCAAUUUGAAUUAUCUGUUUUAUCGUUUCAACAACAUGACAUGACCAUAUGCCUUCUUUACGGUUGUUUAUGGACUCCUGUGUUAAGUUUCCAACUGUGUAAAACUCCCUUAGGCUAGAGAUGAAGGAGAAAU
This 317-nucleotide long non-coding RNA is filed under the name Trifolium pratense (red clover). RNAcentral's name for it is "long non-coding RNA (TPRA_LNC000759)". Lineage: Eukaryota; Viridiplantae; Streptophyta; Magnoliopsida; Fabales; Fabaceae. The record is from RNAcentral.